GACGAACGCUGGCGGCGUGGAUAAGACAUGCAAGUCGAACGAGAUUUUCUUUGGUAGCAAUACCGAAGGAAGUUUAGUGGCGAACGGGUGCGUAACACGUGGGCAAUCUGCCUUAAAGUGGGGGAUAGCUCGGCGAAAGCCGGAUUAAUACCGCAUGUGAUGAGGGGAGACAUCUUUCCAAAAUCAAAGUUGGCGCAAGCUAAACGCUUUUUGAGGAGCCCGCGGCCUAUCAGCUAGUUGGUGGGGUAAUAGCCUACCAAGGCUUUGACGGGUAGCUGGUCUGAGAGGACGACCAGUCACACUGGAACUGAGACACGGUCCAGACACCUACGGGUGGCAGCAGUCGAGAAUUUUUCUCAAUGGGGGCAACCCUGAAGGAGCGACGCCGCGUGGAGGAUGAAGGC
Molecule: ribosomal RNA, 404 nt
Filed under: uncultured bacterium
Lineage: Bacteria
Description: bacterial SSU rRNA
Rfam family: Bacterial small subunit ribosomal RNA
Source: RNAcentral